AUGCAUGUCUAAGUAUAAGCAACUAUACUGUGAAACUGCGAAUGGCUCAUUAAAUCAGUUAUCGUUUAUUUGAUAGUACCUUACUACUUGGAUAACCGUGGUAAUUCUAGAGCUAAUACAUGCGAAAAACCCCGACUUCGGAAGGGGUGUAUUUAUUAGAUAAAAAACCAACGCCCUUCGGGGCUCUCUGGUGAUUCAUAAUAACUAAACGAAUCGCAUGGCCUUGCGCCGGCGAUGGUUCAUUCAAAUUUCUGCCCUAUCAACUUUCGAUUGUAGAGUAGUGGUCUACAAUGGUUUCAACGGGUAACGGGGAAUUAGGGUUCGACUCCGGAGAGGGAGCCUGAGAAACGGCUACCACAUCCAAGGAAGGCAGCAGGCGCGCAAAUUACCCAAUCCCGACACGGGGAGGUAGUGACAAUAAAUACUGAUACAGGGCUCUUUUGGGUCUUGUAAUUGGAAUGAGUACAAUUUAAAUCCCUUAACGAGGAACAACUGGAGGGCAAGUCUGGUGCCAGCAGCCGCGGUAAUUCCAGCUCCAGAAGCGUAUAUUAAAGUUGUUGCAGUUAAAAAGCUCGUAGUUGAAUUUUGGGCCUGGCUGGCCGGUCCGCCUCACCGCGUGCACUGGUCCGGCCGGGCCUUUCCUCCUGGGGAUCCGCAUGCCCUUUACUGGGUGUGUUGGGGAACCAGGACUUUUACUUUGAAAAAAUUAGAGUGUUCAAAGCAGGCCUUUGCUCGAAUACAUUAGCAUGGAAUAAUAGAAUAGGACGGCUUUCCUAUUUUGUUGGUUUCUAGGGAAGCCGUAAUGAUUAAUAGGGAUAGUCGGGGGCAUCAGUAUUCAAUUGUCAGAGGUGAAAUUCUUGGAUUUAUUGAAGACUAACUACUGCGAAAGCAUUUGCCAAGGAUGUUUUCAUUAAUCAGUGAACGAAAGUUAGGGGAUCGAAGACGAUCAGAUACCGUCGUAGUCUUAACCAUAAACUAUGCCGACUAGGGAUCGGGCGAUGUUACUAUCUUGACUCGCUCGGCACCUUACGAGAAAUCAAAGUUUUUGGGUUCUGGGGGGAGUAUGGUCGCAAGGC
Molecule: ribosomal RNA, 1076 nt
Filed under: Metacoleroa dickiei
Lineage: Eukaryota; Fungi; Ascomycota; Dothideomycetes; Venturiales; Venturiaceae
Description: SSU rRNA
Rfam family: Eukaryotic small subunit ribosomal RNA
Source: RNAcentral